RNAcentral lists this ribosomal RNA (573 nucleotides) under uncultured fungus. RNAcentral's name for it is "eukaryotic LSU rRNA". It matches the Rfam family "Eukaryotic large subunit ribosomal RNA", at positions 40 to 605 of the family's 3401-position model. The record is from RNAcentral. Lineage: Eukaryota; Fungi.
AUAUCAAUAAGCGGAGGAAAAGAAACCAACAGGGAUUGCCUCAGUAACGGCGAGUGAAGCGGCAACAGCUCAAAUUUGAAAUCUGGAGCCUUCGGCUUCCGAGUUGUAAUUUGAAGAGGAUGUUUCGGUGCGACCUGGGCCUAAGUUCCUUGGAACAGGACGUCAUGGAGGGUGAGAAUCCCGUACAUGGCUGCAGGUUUGCUUCUAUGUGAAACUCCUUCGAAGAGUCGAGUUGUUUGGGAAUGCAGCUCAAAAUGGGUGGUAAAUUUCAUCUAAAGCUAAAUACUGGCAAGAGACCGAUAGCGAACAAGUACCGUGAGGGAAAGAUGAAAAGCACCUUGAAAAGGGAGUUAAAUAGUGCGUGAAAUUGUUAAAAGGGAAACGAUUGAGACCAGUAUUGGGCUUGGUUGUUCAGUAACUAGUUGGUGCAAGCCCGCAAGUUAUGUAUUCAGCCAGGUCCGAGUCAGCGUCAGUUUGGGCACCUGGAGAGAGGUCAGAGGAAGAUGGGGUCUACCUUCGGGUAUUCCUUUUAUAGACUCUGGCUGGCACAGGAAUCCGGACUGAGGUGAGCGA